GCCAGCAUAGUGUAGUGGUUUGACUGUGGACUAGGACUCAGGAGACCAGGGUUCGAUUCUUUGCUUGGCC
Phrynosoma platyrhinos (Desert horned lizard) is the source of this 70-nucleotide non-coding RNA. The record is from the annotation of a GenBank genome assembly. NCBI's taxonomy places the organism in Eukaryota, Metazoa, Chordata, Lepidosauria, Squamata, Phrynosomatidae.